AGUGAACGCUGGCGGUAGGCCUAACACAUGCAAGUCGAACGGCAGCACAGUAAGAGCUUGCUCUUACGGGUGGCGAGUGGCGGACGGGUGAGGAAUACAUCGGAAUCUACUUUUUCGUGGGGGAUAACGUAGGGAAACUUACGCUAAUACCGCAUACGACCUACGGGUGAAAGCAGGGGAUCUUCGGACCUUGCGCGAAUGAAUGAGCCGAUGUCGGAUUAGCUAGUUGGCGGGGUAAAGGCCCACCAAGGCGGCGAUCCGUAGCUGGUCUGAGAGGAUGAUCGGCCACACUGGAACUGAGACACGGUCCAGACUCCUACGGGAGGCAGCAGUGGGGAAUAUUGGACAAUGGGCGCAAGCCUGAUCCAGCCAUACCGCGUGGGUGAAGAAGGCCUUCGGGUUGUAAAGCCCUUUUGUUGGGAAAGAAAAGCAGCAGGUUAAUACCCCGCUGUUCUGACGGUACCCAAAGAAUAAGCACCGGCUAACUUCGUG
RNAcentral lists this ribosomal RNA (492 nucleotides) under uncultured bacterium. Its description in RNAcentral is "partial 16S ribosomal RNA". It matches the Rfam family "Bacterial small subunit ribosomal RNA", at positions 29 to 507 of the family's 1533-position model. The record is from RNAcentral.